GAUGAACGCUGGCGGCGUGCCUAAUACAUGCAAGUCGAGCGAACGGACGAGAAGCUUGCUUCUCUGAUGUUAGCGGCGGACGGGUGAGUAACACGUGGAUAACCUACCUAUAAGACUGGGAUAACUUCGGGAAACCGGAGCUAAUACCGGAUAAUAUUUUGAACCGCAUGGUUCAAAAGUGAAAGACGGUCUUGCUGUCACUUAUAGAUGGAUCCGCGCUGCAUUAGCUAGUUGGUAAGGUAACGGCUUACCAAGGCAACGAUGCAUAGCCGACCUGAGAGGGUGAUCGUCCACCCUGGAACUGAGACACGGUCCAGACUCCUACGGGAGGCAGCAGUAGGGAAUCUUCCGCAAUGGGCGAAAGCCUGACGGAGCAACGCCGCGUGAGUGAUGAAGGUCUUCGGAUCGUAAAACUCUGUUAUUAGGGAAGAACAUAUGUGUAAGUAACUGUGCACAUCUUGACGGUACCUAAUCAGAAAGCCACGGCUAACUACGUG
This 497-nucleotide ribosomal RNA is filed under the name uncultured bacterium. RNAcentral describes it as "partial 16S ribosomal RNA". It matches the Rfam family "Bacterial small subunit ribosomal RNA", at positions 28 to 507 of the family's 1533-position model. The record is from RNAcentral.